UUCCUACGGGACGCAGCAGUGGGGGAUAUUGCACAAUGGGGGAAACCCUGAUGCAGCGACGCCGCGUGGGUGAAGAAGCGCCUCGGCGCGUAAAGCCCUGUCAGCAGGGAAGAAAAUGACGGUACCUGAAGAAGAAGCCCCGGCUAACUACGUGCCAGCAGCCGCGGUAACACGUAGGUGGCGAGCGUUAUCCGGAAUGAUUGGGCGUAAAGGGUGCGCAGGCGGUCCUGCAAGUCUGGAGUGAAACGCAUGAGCUCAACUCAUGCAUGGCUUUGGAAACUGGAUGCCUGGAGACC
Molecule: ribosomal RNA, 296 nt
Filed under: uncultured bacterium
Lineage: Bacteria
Description: partial 16S ribosomal RNA
Rfam family: Bacterial small subunit ribosomal RNA
Source: RNAcentral